Long non-coding RNA from Syzygium oleosum, 825 nucleotides. RefSeq lists it as uncharacterized. The transcript is spliced from 3 exons. NCBI's taxonomy places the organism in Eukaryota, Viridiplantae, Streptophyta, Magnoliopsida, Myrtales, Myrtaceae. The record is from RefSeq and is a predicted model, not a curated record.
UCCAAAUAUUUGUUUUUUUUUGGGUGAUUGGUUUUUUGAGAUUUAUAUCUGUAGCUUUUUUAUUCAUUUGCAAUGAAACUGCAGUACGAAAUCUCAUCUUGGUCAUGUCUAUUGUUUAAGGAAUCUAUUUAUGUCCUAGGUCUGUGAGAAAUGCGUUGGAGAAAGAGCAAGCUCCUAAUUGAUGCAGAGAUUGAACUAUUGCAACGAAGACAUAUAUGUCACAGCUGUACAUGGAAAGGAAGUUCCAAAAUCUAUCUUAGAAGCAUCUGAGACUGCGUUUGACCCAGGCCACCAGAUAUCUAAACGCUCUAGAAGGAUAAAUUAUGGAAAUGCGGUUACUCUGGAAGUUUUUGGCUCCACAUCAAUAUGACAGUUAAAAAUGAUGAUACGGGAAUCUCUAGGGUUUGUGAAAGAAAACCAAAAAUUUCACAAAGAGCACACAAAAAUAGAAGGGGAAUCUUCUACUCUUGCAGAUUUUAACAUAUGUCUGGCGAUACACUUUGGGUGAGGGAUUCAAAGAUCCAUGAGGAUCAAGAUAUUGCUGAUGACAUAUCAACUCAGAAAAUGGAUGUGGAACAUGCUGAUUCGUCGUACACUUUUGACUACUGAUUUCCCUUCAUAAGUUUGGAGAAGCUGGCUCUUGUUAUAUUUGUGGAAACUCUGGUUGUCAAACAUGAAGGUCUUCUCCUUGUAAAUCUCAUUGGUAAAUUUACAACGCUAUCUUUGCUUAAGGGUUUUUUGUGCGGCUGCUGCUUCGAGUUCAUGACAUCGGUUUUACGUUUUACCCUAGAUGUAGACUAAGUGAUAUUCUAGUUAGCAAUUUGA